Helianthus annuus (common sunflower) is the source of this 2243-nucleotide long non-coding RNA. RefSeq lists it as uncharacterized. Lineage: Eukaryota; Viridiplantae; Streptophyta; Magnoliopsida; Asterales; Asteraceae. The record is from RefSeq and is a predicted model, not a curated record. The transcript has 5 exons.
UCACCCAACCAACCAAAUUACAAAAUUGCCCCUUUCUCUUUUAAAUAUCUGGCCACCAACCCUUUUCUUCUCCUUUUAACCCUAAGUACCGAAGCCCCCUCUCAAUCAAUUGCUUUUCUUUUGAAUCCAAACUCAUCGUCAUCAUUCAUCACUCAAUCAGGUUAAACAUAUCUCAAACAAGAUCUACUAUUUCUUCACAAAUUUCGAAUAACAUCUAUACAUACAUGUACAGAGGCUGAGGUGAAUCGUCGGCAAGGUCGGCGAUGGUAGGAGGAGGUGGACCGUUGGAUCGGAAACGAAUCAACGAUGCGUUGGAUAAGCAGUUAGAGAAGACGUCAUCUUCAUCCACUUCUAGGUUUUUAAACAAGGAGAAAGACAGAAUAUACAUGCCGUCAACUUCCGCCGCCGGUGGUGGUAAGUCGCAUCAUCUGAAGAAGAUGUUCGGAAAAACAAACGAGGCUUCGGCGAGAGAGAAGGGGAGUUUUUAAAGGGUAGUUGCCCCUCUCUUGCCACAACAUCAUCAUGUUGAGUUGAUCUUUCUACUUCGCCGGUGAUGAUGAUGGUAACAGUGUCGUUUGUGGGUACGAAUAGGUGGAUGUCCGUCCUCCAGCCGAAUGCUCUGUUGCGAAAGGGUGGAUCCGCCUGCGAUGAAUGGCUGAGCUAUUGCUGUGCUCCAACGACACCCCUCUUCCAGCGCGUGCACCACUAUUUCUUACACAUAGACAAUCAAUGAGGCUGAUGGUUGGAUUAGUUUUUGCAGGCCAACCAUAUCUUCGGCAGCUUCGACAUGUGACAUGUGACGGCGAUUAGGGGAAACAAGUCGCUAGGGUUUGACAAUCGCUACUCCGGCUACCCUAGCGAUGAUGGUGACCGGUGGUGUUCUAACACAAGACGAACUAGGGUUCCGCCGUAAACAUCGGUGGCGGCGAAUGCGAUGGUGUUUCAAGGCACAUUCGUUUCAUUAAUUUAUCUGUUUAUGAAGGUAGGCAACAAUGAUUUGAUAAAAUGUGUAAAAACAGAGCAAGGCUGGAUCUGUGCCAAAUUUUUAGAAUCAGAGAACUAAGCAAGAAAAUAAAAUAAAGCAAGCCAUAAUAAAUGCGAAGCUAUACGGAUGAAAAAUGAGUUGAACACAUUAAACCUACGUUUUAUAUCAACAAGUAGUAAGAGUGACUCUAUUCGAAGUGAUGCUGCGAAUUGUUUUGUUCGUCUGUUGUGACUCCCUUUGGACCGUCCCCUGCUGUUGGUAAUUUUGAUAUCCCCUGCUGCCAAAUUGGACGUCCAUGUUUGAUAUCCCUGCUGCUAAUCUAAUGUGCCACCCAUUCAAUCUUCAAAGGCUGAGCUUUUAUUUAGUUAUUUGGGCUUAUUAUUUAGUUUUAAUUGGGCUUAUUAUUGGUUUGUGUCAUCAUCACCAGCUGAGCUUAUUAUUAGUUUGUAAAAAAGAUUUUGAGGGGUGUCUUUGUAGUUGUUUAGGGGUAUCUUUUGUAUAAAAAUCGAAAAAAAAAAAUUACACUAUUGGUAAAAAAGUUGAGCCGUAGCUCAGGCUACGCCUGAAUAUAAACCAGGUCCACCCCUGUGUUGAUUCCUUAUGAAAAUGACGAUUAUGACAAUACAUAUGAACGAAAAGAUGAUAUGAAUAUAUAGUGUCGCAGGUAAAGAUAAAAAAACACGCCUAUAAAAUUGCAUCCAAUGAGUAUAAAGUUGCAUCUCACGACAAUAAAAGAUAUAUCUUUUUUUAUAUGAUUGGUUAUAAAAUUAUUUUAGUUUUUCGCUUAAUAUAAAGAAAAGGCAAUUAUAUCUGAGUGGAUUUGUUCGGUUGAAAUGUUGAAUAUGUUGUUUUAUUGUAUCAUUUUUUUGAAGAUUCCAACACAUGUCUCAUUUCAAUCAUUAAGGUAAAUUACAUAAAGAUAGCAGGUAGACGAGCAAUAAACUACGCCGCUAUCCCUUUCUGGGUAGAAAACCCUAAUCUACUAAAAACAAAGCUUCGCCCCUGAGGGGUCGAAAAGUUGCUGUAGACCACAUGCUGAACUCUAAACAAGAACCGAACUGCCUCCGACGCCAAAGAGCCGAACGUGUCAAACGCCAGGGAGACAAAGGCAUGCUGAUUAUCAUUUGCAUUAUGCAAUUAAUUAUUUAGUAAUAUUCGAUAGUAUGUUGUAGGGGAAGGAUCCACUAAAAAGUGGAUUUUGCCUAAGUAGCCUAAGAAGGAUUGUGAUGAUGACAUGUGGCACUCCUAAAAAGUAGGA